GUCCUUGCCGUAAACGAUGUAUACUUGAUGUAGUUAGGCUCAACCCUGACUGUGUCGAAGCUAACGCGAUAAGUAUACCGCCUGGGGAGUACGCUCGCAAGGGUGAAACUCAAAAGAAUUGACGGGGGCCCCGCACAAGCAGUGGAGCAUGUGGUUUAAUUCGAUGCAACGCGAAGAACCUUACCCAGGCUCGAAAUGUAGAGGACGAUACUAGAGAUAGUAUUUUCCGUAAGGACUUCUAUAUAGGUGCUGCAUGGCUGUCGU
This 264-nucleotide ribosomal RNA is filed under the name uncultured bacterium. Its description in RNAcentral is "partial 16S ribosomal RNA". It matches the Rfam family "Bacterial small subunit ribosomal RNA", at positions 793 to 1055 of the family's 1533-position model. The record is from RNAcentral.